Molecule: ribosomal RNA, 253 nt
Filed under: uncultured bacterium
Lineage: Bacteria
Description: partial 16S ribosomal RNA
Rfam family: Bacterial small subunit ribosomal RNA
Source: RNAcentral
UACAGAGGGUGCGAGCGUUAAUCGGAAUUACUGGGCGUAAAGCGCGCGUAGGCGGCUUUGCAAGUCGGGUGUGAAAUCCCCAGGCUUAACCUGGGAACUGCAUUCGAGACUGCAUUGCUUGAGUCCGGGAGAGGGGGGUGGAAUUCCCAGUGUAGCGGUGAAAUGCGCAGAUAUCAGGAAGAACACCCGUGGCUAAGGCGGCUCUCUAGUACGGUACUGACGCUGAGACGCGAAAGCGUGGGGAGCGAACAGG